Molecule: ribosomal RNA, 146 nt
Filed under: Sphaeropthalma orestes
Lineage: Eukaryota; Metazoa; Arthropoda; Insecta; Hymenoptera; Mutillidae
Description: 5.8S ribosomal RNA
Rfam family: 5.8S ribosomal RNA
About the family: 5.8S ribosomal RNA (5.8S rRNA) is a component of the large subunit of the eukaryotic ribosome.
Source: RNAcentral
ACGGUGGAUCACUUGGCUCGUGGGUCGAUAAAAAACCCACCUUAUUGCCCGUCACUUUUUGAACUGCAGGACACAUGAACAUCGACAUUUCGAACGCACAUUGCGGGUCCACGGGAUACAAUUCCCGGACCACGCCUGGCUGAGGG